This 918-nucleotide ribosomal RNA is filed under the name uncultured bacterium. RNAcentral describes it as "bacterial SSU rRNA". It matches the Rfam family "Bacterial small subunit ribosomal RNA", at positions 578 to 1505 of the family's 1533-position model. The record is from RNAcentral.
GAAGAUCAAGUCAGCGGUAAAAUUGAGAGGCUCAACCUCUUCGAGCCGUUGAAACUGGUUUUCUUGAGUGAGCGAGAAGUAUGCGGAAUGCGUGGUGUAGCGGUGAAAUGCAUAGAUAUCACGCAGAACUCCGAUUGCGAAGGCAGCAUACCGGCGCUCAACUGACGCUCAUGCACGAAAGUGUGGGUAUCGAACAGGAUUAGAUACCCUGGUAGUCCACACAGUAAACGAUGAAUACUAAUUGUUCGGGGAGAAUGAUCCCUGAGUGAUACAGCGAAAGCGUUAAGUAUUCCACCUGGGGAGUACGCCGGCAACGGUGAAACUCAAAGGAAUUGACGGGGGCCCGCACAAGCGGAGGAACAUGUGGUUUAAUUCGAUGAUACGCGAGGAACCUUACCCGGGCUCAAACGACACAGGAAUACUUUUGAAAGGAAGUAGCUCUACGGAGCCUGUGUCGAGGUGCUGCAUGGUUGUCGUCAGCUCGUGCCGUGAGGUGUCGGCUUAAGUGCCAUAACGAGCGCAACCCCCAUCGCCAGUUACCAGCAAGUCAAGUUGGGGACUCUGGCGAGACUGCCGGCGCAAGCUGUGAGGAAGGCGGGGAUGACGUCAAAUCAGCACGGCCCUUACGUCCGGGGCGACACACGUGUUACAAUGGCAGGUACAGAGAGAAGCAAUGCGGCGACGCAAAGCGGAACUUGAAAGCCUGUCUCAGUUCGGAUUGGAGUCUGCAACUCGACUCCAUGAAGCUGGAUUCGCUAGUAAUCGCGCAUCAGCCAUGGCGCGGUGAAUACGUUCCCGGGCCUUGUACACACCGCCCGUCAAGCCAUGGAAGCCGGGAGUGCCUGAAGUGUGCAACCGCAAGGAGCGCCCUAAGGUAAAACUGGUGACUGGGGCUAAGUCGUAACAAGGUAGCCGUAA